Molecule: ribosomal RNA, 522 nt
Filed under: Alternaria alternata
Lineage: Eukaryota; Fungi; Ascomycota; Dothideomycetes; Pleosporales; Pleosporaceae
Description: eukaryotic LSU rRNA
Rfam family: 5.8S ribosomal RNA (bases 150-303)
Source: RNAcentral
GGGCUGGACCUCUCGGGGUUACAGCCUUGCUGAAUUAUUCACCCUUGUCUUUUGCGUACUUCUUGUUUCCUUGGUGGGUUCGCCCACCACUAGGACAAACAUAAACCUUUUGUAAUUGCAAUCAGCGUCAGUAACAAAUUAAUAAUUACAACUUUCAACAACGGAUCUCUUGGUUCUGGCAUCGAUGAAGAACGCAGCGAAAUGCGAUAAGUAGUGUGAAUUGCAGAAUUCAGUGAAUCAUCGAAUCUUUGAACGCACAUUGCGCCCUUUGGUAUUCCAAAGGGCAUGCCUGUUCGAGCGUCAUUUGUACCCUCAAGCUUUGCUUGGUGUUGGGCGUCUUGUCUCUAGCUUUGCUGGAGACUCGCCUUAAAGUAAUUGGCAGCCGGCCUACUGGUUUCGGAGCGCAGCACAAGUCGCACUCUCUAUCAGCAAAGGUCUAGCAUCCAUUAAGCCUUUUUUUCAACUUUUGACCUCGGAUCAGGUAGGGAUACCCGCUGAACUUAAGCAUAUCAAUAAGCGGAG